AAAUUUAAGUCUUCUAUUGGCAUUUGAUAGUACUCUUCUUGUAUAGGUAAGACAAGGUUUAGAUUUGUAGAAUUUCAUGAAUAUAUAGUUUAGAUUCCUCAAAUUUAGGGCAUUUUUUACACUGCUAUAUGAGUGAUUUUGCUAGGACAAAAGAAGCAGAUAAUUAGACACAGAAUGAAUUUGGGCAUUGCAUGAACGCCUAGUUCCAACGGCAUGUAUCGAUAUGAUCCUACUAGCAACAAUAAAGACUCGUUGCCAAAGCAAUCGUAGCAUAGUGUAUUGCUAAGAGAUAGCAUAAAGGAUGAGAUCAAUGAACGAGAAUAGCAAAUCAAUAGAAGAAUAAAGCUAAAUUCAUGCAUCAUUUAACUAAUUUAGUUAGUAGUAGAUCAGUGGCGCGCAAAUCAAAACAAACAACAAAGAUUAAGAAUAUCAAACAACGGGCAAAUAAUAGACCUGAGAAAAUGGACCUGGUCGAAU
RNAcentral lists this unclassified non-coding RNA (477 nucleotides) under Hevea brasiliensis (rubber tree). Lineage: Eukaryota; Viridiplantae; Streptophyta; Magnoliopsida; Malpighiales; Euphorbiaceae. The record is from RNAcentral.